Molecule: ribosomal RNA, 468 nt
Filed under: uncultured bacterium
Lineage: Bacteria
Description: partial 16S ribosomal RNA
Rfam family: Bacterial small subunit ribosomal RNA
Source: RNAcentral
GACGAACGCUGGCGGCGUGCUUAACACAUGCAAGUCGAACGGAAAGGCCCUGCUUUUGUGGGGUGCUCGAUUGGCGAACGCGUGCGUAACACGUGUGUAACCUGCCCUUGACUUUGGGAUAACUUCAGGAAACUGGGGCUAAUACCGGAUAGGAGCUCCUGCUGCAUGGUGGGGGUUGGAAAGUUUCGGCGGUUGGGUAUGGACUCGCGGCUUAUCAGCUUGUUGGUGGGGUAGUGGCUUACCAAGGUUUUGAAGGGUAGCCGGCUUGAGAGGGUGACCGGCCACAUUGGGACUGAGAUACGGCCCAGACGCCUACGGGAGGCAGCAGUGGGGAAUAUUGCACAAUGGGCGGAAGCCUGAUGCAGCAACGCCGCGAGCGGGAUCACCGCCUUCGAGUUGUAAACCGCUUUCGCCGGUAACGAAGCGUGAGUGACGGUAAUGAAUAAAGAAGCAACGGCUAACUACGUG